GGAAAGGCGCGCGAUACAGGGUGACAGCCCCGUACACAAAAAUGCACAUGCUGUGAGCUCGAUGAGUAGGGCGGGACACGUGGUAUCCUGUCUGAAUAUGGGGGGACCAUCCUCCAAGGCUAAAUACUCCUGACUGACCGAUAGUGAACCAGUACCGUGAGGGAAAGGCGAAAAGAACCCCGGCGAGGGGAGUGAAAAAGAACCUGAAACCGUGUACGUACAAGCAGUGGGAGCACGCUUAGGCGUGUGACUGCGUACCUUUUGUAUAAUGGGUCAGCGACUUAUAUUCUGUAGCAAGGUUAACCGAAUAGGGGAGCCGAAGGGAAACCGAGUCUUAACUGGGCGUUAAGUUGCAGGGUAUAGACCCGAAACCCGGUGAUCUAGCCAUGGGCAGGUUGAAGGUUGGGUAACACUAACUGGAGGACCGAACCGACUAAUGUUGAAAAAUUAGCGGAUGACUUGUGGCUGGGGGUGAAAGGCCAAUCAAACCGGGAGAUAGCUGGUUCUCCCCGAAAGCUAUUUAGGUAGCGCCUCGUGAAUUCAUCUCCGGGGGUAGAGCACUGUUUCGGCAAGGGGGUCAUCCCGACUUACCAACCCGAUGCAAACUGCGAAUACCGGAGAAUGUUAUCACGGGAGACACACGGCGGGUGCUAACGUCCGUCGUGAAGAGGGAAACAACCCAGACCGCCAGCUAAGGUCCCAAAGUCAUGGUUAAGUGGGAAACGAUGUGGGA
RNAcentral lists this ribosomal RNA (733 nucleotides) under Escherichia coli. Its description in RNAcentral is "partial 23S ribosomal RNA". It matches the Rfam family "Bacterial large subunit ribosomal RNA", at positions 344 to 1080 of the family's 2925-position model. The record is from RNAcentral. Lineage: Bacteria; Pseudomonadati; Pseudomonadota; Gammaproteobacteria; Enterobacterales; Enterobacteriaceae.